AAAAUGCAUCAAUGGGUUGCAAACACGUAAGGCCAAAUAUUUAUAUUUACCCUGACUUCAGUACAUGGAUCAAGCUCACUUUUGUUCAUGGAGGAAGUUGGAGAUUUUUCCUUAAUGCCACCAAGUUAGAGGAAUUCAUCCAGUGGCUUCUGUCUAGGCCAAUGAUCCUUCCUGAGGAACCACAAAUCAUACCCCAGAGAGACUAUGCCUUCAUUGGACCCAUUGAGAGGUUGGCCACAGUUUGCCUCUCUCUUUUCAACUAUGUUUAUUGCCUUUUUGGUUCCUCAAAAGAGGAAAUAACUCGACUUUAGAGUUAUUUCCUGCUUGGCUUGGUACAAAAUAAAUGUAGCCUGUUUCAAGUA
This 362-nucleotide long non-coding RNA is filed under the name Rattus norvegicus (Norway rat). Its description in RNAcentral is "long non-coding RNA NONRATT006560". The record is from RNAcentral. Lineage: Eukaryota; Metazoa; Chordata; Mammalia; Rodentia; Muridae.